Molecule: long non-coding RNA, 2942 nt
Filed under: Homo sapiens (human)
Lineage: Eukaryota; Metazoa; Chordata; Mammalia; Primates; Hominidae
Description: non-protein coding lnc-PPIL2-8:4
Source: RNAcentral
ACUGCGACGGCGUUGACUGAGGGGGCGCCACUAGGCGCGGUCACGUGCAUUCGCGGUGCAUUCGCGGGGGCGUCGGUGCGGGUCGCGUCUCUUAAGACACCCAGGGAGACAGACGUGGGGCAGAACUCAUGGGCUGAAGUGAGAGAUGGCUGGGGCCCAGGCGAGCGACCGAGCAGGGUCCGAACAGAGCCAGCGAGGGACCCCGGGCUGUGCUUGAGGCCCGACGACGCGCCAUAUCCCGGCAGCGCCGCAGCUCAGGCCUCUGCGAAUCUGUGGUCCACACGCUGAUAAACUUAGAGGCCUCUGCACUGGGGCAGAAACCGAAAGGCAUGACCCAGACCGAGAAAGAUAUUUGCAUACUGAGAAAGUGUGAAACACAAUUGUCGAGACUAAAAGGAGACACUGAGAGGAUACGCCAAUCAGGCUGAAGCAACUUACCAAACAUGAGGGGAUUUAAAGAAACAGGACCUAGGUACUUUUUCCCUCUUGAGAACCAGACAUUUAAAGAAAUCUCUCAUCAGGUCACUGGCUGACCCCAGAGACAAUGGAAGAAAAAUUUCAGUGAAAACACACAAGGAAUACUUGCUUUACAAAAAUAGCUUAGAAAAGUCACAAAAGGAUGGUUCCAGCCAUCAACAAGCAAAACCCAGCAAUUCCUGAGGAGUGAGAGAAUUAAGACUGCAGAACUACCACAACAUAAGGCUCAGAAUGUCCAGUUCACAGUAAAAAAAAAAACUACAGAAUAGGCCAGGCGCGGUGGUCAUGCCUGUAAUCCAGCACUUUGGGAGGCCGAGACGGGUGGAUCACGAGGUCAGGAGAUCGAGACCAUUCUGGCUAACACUGUGAAACCCUAUCUCUACUAAAAAUACAAAAACAUUAGCCAGGCAUGGUGGCGGGCGCCCAGCUACUCAGGAGGCUGAGGCAGGAGAAUGGCAUGAACCCGGGGGGCGGAGCUCACAGUGAACGGAGAUCGCGCCACUGCACUCCAGCCUGGGCAACAGAGUGAGACUCCUUCUCAAAAAAAAAAAAAACAAAAACCAAGAACUACAGAAUAUACAAAGAAACAUGAAAGUAUGGCCCAUUGAAAGGAAAAAAAAUUGAUGGAAACCAUCCCUGAGAAAGCCUAGACAUCAAAAUUAUUAGUGAAAUACAUUAAACCAACUGUCUUUAGUAUGUUCAGUGAGCUAAAGGAAGACAUGGAAAAGAACCAAAGUAAAAAAAACUGUUGUCUGAACAAAAUGAGAAUAUCAAUAAAGAGAUAGAAAUUAGCAAAAGUAACCAAAAAGAUAUUGUGAAAUGAAAAGUGUAAAAACUGAAGUGAAAAACUCACUGGAGAGAUAUAACAGCAGAUUUGAGCAGGCAGAAAGAAAGAAACGGUGAAUGUGAAGACAUUUGAAAUUAUCUAAUCAGAGGAACAGAAAGAAGAAAAAAGAAUUAAAAAGACUAAAUAGGCCUAGGGAACUGUGGGACAUCAUUAAGUGGGUAAACAUAUGCUUUAUAAGCAUCCCAGGAGGAGAAGAGAAAGAGAAAAAGGGGCAGAAAAAAUAUUUUGGGGAAAUAAAGGCUAAAAACUUCCAUAAUCUGAUGACAGACAUGAAGAUACACACCCAAGAAGCACAAAGAUUUUCAAGCAGGCUAUCUCAAGAGAAAUCCACACUGAAACAUUAUGUUCAAAUUGUGGAAACUGAAGGACAAAGAGAGAAUUUUGAAAGCAAGAGAGAAGCAACUCAUCAUGUACAAGUGAUCCUCAAUAAAAUAAACAGCUGAUUUCUUGUUAAAGGCAUGGAGGCCAGAAGGCAGGGAAUGGCAUAAAGUCCUGAAAAAAAAAUGUCAACCAAGAAUUCGAUUUCCAGCAGAAUUAUUAUUAUUAUUAUUUUUGAGAUGGAGUCUCGCUCUGUCGCCCAGGGUGGAGUGCAGUGGCACAAUCGGCUCACUGCAAGCUCCACCUCCUGGGUUUCCUCCAUUCUCCUGCCUCAGCCUCCCAAGAAUUCGAUUUCCAGCAGAAUUAUUAUUAUUAUUAUUAUUAUUAUUAUUAUUAUUAUUAUUUUGAGAUGGAGUCUCGCUCUGUCGCCCAGGGUGGAGUGCAGUGGCACAAUCGGCUCACUGCAAGAUCCACCUCCUGGGUUUCCUCCAUUCUCCUGCCUCAGCCUCCCAAGUAGCUGGGACUAUAGGCGCCCGCCACCAGGCCCGGCUAAUUUUUUGUAUUUUUGGUAGAGAUGGGGUUUCACCGUGUUAGCCAGGAUGGUCUUGAUCUCCUGACCUCACGAUCUGCCCACCUCAGCCUCCCAAAGUGCUGGGAUUAUAGGAGUGAGCCACCGCGCCCGGCCCCAGCACAAUUAUUUUUAAGGAAUGAGGGAGAAAUUAAGAUGUUUCAAGAUAAACAGAAGUUGAGAGAAUUUAUUACCGGUAGACCUGCCCUACAAGAAAUGCUAAUGGUAGUUCUUCGUGAUAAAAUAAAAAGAUUCUAGGCCUGGCGUGGUGGCUCACACCUGUAAUCUCAGCACUUUGGGAGGCUGAGGCAGGUGGAUCACUUGAGGUUAGAAGUUCAAGACCAGCCUGGCCAACAUGGCAAAACCCUGCCUCUACUAAAACAACUACAAAAAUUAGCCAGGUGUGUUAGCAUGUGCCUGUAAUAAUCCCAGCUACUCAGGAGGCUGAGGCAAGAGAAUCGCUUGAACCCCGGAGGUGGAGGUUGCAGUGAGCCAAGAUUGUGCCACUGCACUACAACCUGGGAGACAGAGCUAGACUCUGUCUCAAAAAAUAAUAAUAAAAAAAAAUAGAUAAAAAAUAACUGCUGGGCACAGUGGCUCACGCCUGUAAUCCCAGCACUUUGGGAGGCUGAGGCAGGCAGAUCACAAGGUCAAGAGAUCGAGACCAUCCUGGCCAACACGGUGAAACCCCAUCUCUACUAAAAAAAAUACAAAAAAUUAGCCGGGCAUGGU